UCCUCCUUACAGAGGCAGUUUGUUCCGAGUGCUCCGCCUUGGCAAAGCCUAGCGCUGGCAACAGAACAUGAGGGUUGCGCUCGUUGCGGGACUUAACCCAACAUUUCACAACACGAGCUGACGACAGCCAUGCACCACCUGUGUAACAGCCUCGAAGGCGACUCCUUUUCGGGAGCUUCCAGCUACAUGUCAAGCCCUGGUAAGGUUCUUCGCGUUGCAUCGAAUUAAGCCACAUGCUCCACCGCUUGUGCGGGCCCCCGCCAAUUCCUUUGAGUUUCAACCUUGCGGCCGUAGUCCCCAGGCGGAUCACUUAAUGCGUUAGCUGCGGCACCGAAGGAAACCCCCCGACACCUAGUGAUCAUAGUUUAGGGCCAAGACUAC
Molecule: unclassified non-coding RNA, 381 nt
Filed under: uncultured bacterium
Lineage: Bacteria
Description: contains 16S-23S intergenic spacer region
Source: RNAcentral